This 492-nucleotide ribosomal RNA is filed under the name uncultured bacterium. Its description in RNAcentral is "bacterial SSU rRNA". It matches the Rfam family "Bacterial small subunit ribosomal RNA", at positions 18 to 507 of the family's 1533-position model. The record is from RNAcentral.
CCUGGCUCAGAUUGAACGCUGGCGGCAUGCCUUACACAUGCAAGUCGAACGGCAGCGGACCUUCGGGUGCCGGCGAGUGGCGAACGGGUGAGUAAUAUAUCGGAACGUACCUUUCAGUGGGGGAUAACGUAGCGAAAGUUACGCUAAUACCGCAUAUUCUGUGAGCAGGAAAGCAGGGGAUCGCAAGACCUUGCGCUGAUUGAGCGGCCGAUAUCAGAUUAGCUAGUUGGUGAGGUAAAGGCUCACCAAGGCGACGAUCUGUAGCGGGUCUGAGAGGAUGAUCCGCCACACUGGAACUGAGACACGGUCCAGACUCCUACGGGAGGCAGCAGUGGGGAAUUUUGGACAAUGGGCGCAAGCCUGAUCCAGCCAUGCCGCGUGAGUGAAGAGGGCCUUCGGGUUGUAAAGCUCUUUCGGCCGGGAAGAAAUCGCACGGGUUAAUACCCUGUGUGGAUGACGGUACCGGAAUAAGAAGCACCGACUAACUACGUG